GAUGAACGCUGGCGGCGUGCCUAAUACAUGCAAGUCGAGCGAACAGACGAGGAGCUUGCUCCUUUGACGUUAGCGGCGGACGGGUGAGUAACACGUAGGUAACCUACCUAUAAGACUGGGAUAACUUCGGGAAACCGGAGCUAAUACCGGAUAAUAUUUCGAACCGCAUGGUUCGAUAGUGAAAGAUGGCUUUGCUAUCACUUAUAGAUGGACCUGCGCCGUAUUAGCUAGUUGGUAAGGUAACGGCUUACCAAGGCAACGAUACGUAGCCGACCUGAGAGGGUGAUCGGCCACACUGGAACUGAGACACGGUCCAGACUCCUACGGGAGGCAGCAGUAGGGAACCUUCCGCAAUGGGCGAAAGCCUGACGGAGCAACGCCGCGUGAGUGAUGAAGGUCUUCGGAUCGUAAAACUCUGUUAUUAGGGAAGAACAAACGUGUAAGUAACUGUGCACGUCUUGACGGUACCUAAUCAGAAAGCCACGGCUAACUACGUG
Molecule: ribosomal RNA, 497 nt
Filed under: uncultured bacterium
Lineage: Bacteria
Description: partial 16S ribosomal RNA
Rfam family: Bacterial small subunit ribosomal RNA
Source: RNAcentral